CCUACGGGUGGCAGCAGUGAGGAAUAUUGGUCAAUGGGAGGAAUCCUGAACCAGCCAUGCCGCGUGCAGGACGACGGCUCUACGAGUUGUAAACUGCUUUUGUACCGGGGUAAAAUGCUCUACGAGUAGGGUUUUGAAAGUACGGUACGAAUAAGGAUCGGCUAACUCCGUGCCAGCAGCCGCGGUAAUACGGAGGAUCCGAGCGUUAUCCGGAUUUAUUGGGUUUAAAGGGUGCGUAGGUUGUUUUAUAAGUUAGCGGUGAAAUACCGAUGCUCAACAUCGGGGCUGCCGCUGAUACUGUAGGACUAGAGAGCGGAUGCAGCAGGCGGAAUGGGUAGUGUAGCGGUGAAAUGCAUAGAUAUUACACAGAACACCGAUUGCGAAGGCAGCUUGCUAGGCCGGAUCUGACACUGAUGCACGAAAGCGUGGGGAUCGAACAGGAUUAGAUACCCUUGUAGUC
This 460-nucleotide ribosomal RNA is filed under the name uncultured bacterium. Its description in RNAcentral is "partial 16S ribosomal RNA". It matches the Rfam family "Bacterial small subunit ribosomal RNA", at positions 338 to 795 of the family's 1533-position model. The record is from RNAcentral.